This 460-nucleotide ribosomal RNA is filed under the name uncultured bacterium. RNAcentral describes it as "partial 16S ribosomal RNA". It matches the Rfam family "Bacterial small subunit ribosomal RNA", at positions 338 to 795 of the family's 1533-position model. The record is from RNAcentral.
CCUACGGGUGGCAGCAGUGAGGAAUAUUGGUCAAUGGGCGCGAGCCUGAACCAGCCAAGUAGCGUGAAGGAUGACUGCCCUACGGGUUGUAAACUUCUUUUAUAAAGGAAUAAAGUGAGGCACGUGUGCCUUUUUGUAUGUACUUUAUGAAUAAGGAUCGGCUAACUCCGUGCCAGCAGCCGCGAUAAUACGGAGGAUCCGAGCGUUAUCCGGAUUUAUUGGGUUUAAAGGGAGCGUAGAUGGGUUGUUAAGUCAGUUGUGAAAGGUUGCGGCUCAACCGUAAAAUUGCAAUUGAUACUGGCAGGCUGGAGUACAGUUGAGGUAGGCGGAAUUCGUGGUGUAGCGGUGAAAUGCUUAGAUAUCACGAAGAACUCCGAUUGCGAAGGCAGCUUACUAAACUGCCACUGACAUUGAUGCUCGAAAGUGUGGGGAUCAAACAGGAUUAGAUACCCUAGUAGUC